Molecule: signal recognition particle RNA, 97 nt
Filed under: Marinobacterium marinum
Lineage: Bacteria; Pseudomonadati; Pseudomonadota; Gammaproteobacteria; Oceanospirillales; Oceanospirillaceae
Description: Bacterial small signal recognition particle RNA
Rfam family: Bacterial small signal recognition particle RNA
About the family: The signal recognition particle (SRP) is a universally conserved ribonucleoprotein involved in the co-translational targeting of proteins to membranes.
Source: Rfam by way of RNAcentral
UGCUGGUCCUCUCGCAACGAUAAGCCGUGAACCUGGUCAGGCCCGGAAGGGAGCAGCCACAGCGGUGGUUUCGUGUGCCGGGAUGUGGCUGGUGGAG